GCUAGUACUGGCGCGGGAGGCGGGAGGUUGGAGGCGAGGAGCUCGCGGCCUAGGCUGUUUGGGUCCCUGGCGCGAGCUGUAGACGGAGAGAGGGGUCCGGAGAAGGAGGGGUGAAAGUAGCAGUUAGCCCGCGAUCUCAGAAGGGCUGCCCGCCCCUCACGGUCCCUUAAUAGCACGUUGCGUCCUGGAAGUUCUAAAACGUCCCGCUUCAAUAUGAAUUUUAAAUUAGUGAAAACAUAUGUGUAUUGUUUUAGGCUUUCCCACCGCGGGGACGGCCCUCCGGGGGUUGACUUAGCUGGGAUGCAGAAUAGAAGCUGGGCCUUUGUCUGACUACCCUGCAACAGUCAGCCACAGACGGGAAGGCAGCGCAGGAAACUGAGGCCAAAGGAGCCGCGCUUCCUCAUGAGCAUGAAGCGGCAAAGCCUGAACUAGAAGCUUCUAACGCCUAACCGUCCUCUUGCCGCACCAGGACCUACCUCUGCAAGGCCCUUCCUGACUUUUUCCUUAGAAUGUGUGUAUAUGUGUCUUUUUCCUUUUCUGAUGCUAAGACACCUCAGAAACACCAAUGUUAAGCAGAUUUCCAUCGUUGGAGGUUAAAACACCCGAAUACAAGUGUUUUCUUGAGUGUGGCAUCUGGUCAGAUGUUUUAUGGGUUGGUUUGUUUUUAAAAAAAAAAAAUUUCCUGUUAGAUGGGUGGUAAGAACCAGUCAGAGUUUGUAAACCCACCAAGCACGAGGCGGUCGGACCGUCCAGAUUCUGGAGUCCAGAAGACACCAAACGUUCUCAGAAUGCCGAACGCGGGCGCCACCUGGUGGGACUAGAACGCUUAUUGUCCCAAAUCAGCAUAGCACACAGUUCCCAUAAAUCUUAAAAAUUCCCAUCCAAGGCUCAUUUCCGUGUGACUAAAAGUCAUAUUCUCUGUUCUCGUGACUCCAAGUAAAAAUGUCCCUAAAGAGCCAAAGUAUCUUCACUGUAUAAACUAAUAAUCUAUUGGUUUGGGGAAUUUUAUUUUUUGUGAUCAAUGUUACUUUAGCCUUUCUAUGAUAUACAUAUAAAUAAAAAAG
Molecule: long non-coding RNA, 1064 nt
Filed under: Homo sapiens (human)
Lineage: Eukaryota; Metazoa; Chordata; Mammalia; Primates; Hominidae
Description: non-protein coding lnc-EIF2D-1:3
Source: RNAcentral